RNAcentral lists this ribosomal RNA (442 nucleotides) under uncultured bacterium. RNAcentral's name for it is "partial 16S ribosomal RNA". The record is from RNAcentral.
GACUACAAGGGUAUCUAAUCCUGUUUGCUACCCUAGCUUUCGCACCUCAGUGUCAGUAUUGGGCCAGGAGACUGCUUUCGCCAUCGGUGUUCCUCCUGAUAUCUACGCAUUUCACCGCUACACCAGGAAUUCCGUCUCCCCCUCCCACACUCAAGCCAGAUAGUAUCUAUGUCCCUUCCCAGUUGAGCCAGGAAAUUUUACCAUAGACUUAUCUAACCACCUACAUACGCUUUACGCCUAGUAAUUCCGAGUAACGCUCGCCACCUACGUAUUACCGCGGCUGCUGGCACGUAGUUAGCCGUGGCUUUUUCUGAGGGUACCGUCAAUUUAUUCUUCCCCUCUAAAAGGAGUUUACAACCCGAAGGCCUUCAUCCUCCACGCGGCGUCGCUGGAUCAGGCUUUCGCCCAUUGUCCAAAAUUCCCCACUGCAGCCACCCGUAGG